GCUUAGCCCCGUUAAAUCUUCCCCGCAGAGUCGGUCUGCGGGGAAGAUUUAACGGGGCUAAGCAGUGAACCGAAGCUUGGGGUGUGCAUAUUUAUAUGUACGCGGUAGAGGAGCGUUCCGUAAGCCGUUGAAGGUGGAUUGAGAAGUCUGCUGGAGGUAUCGGAAGUGCGAAUGCUGACAUGAGUAACGAUAAUGCGGGUGAAAAACCCGCACGCCGAAAGCCCAAGGUUUCCUUGCGCAACGUUAAUCGGCGCAGGGUGAGUCGGCCCCUAAGGCGAGGACGAAAGUCGUAGUCGAUGGGAAGCAGGUUAAUAUUCCUGCACCUCGCGUAAGUGCGAUGGAGGGACGGAGAAGGUUAGGUGUACCCGGCGUUGGUUGUCCGGGGGAAAGG
Molecule: ribosomal RNA, 391 nt
Filed under: Leclercia adecarboxylata
Lineage: Bacteria; Pseudomonadati; Pseudomonadota; Gammaproteobacteria; Enterobacterales; Enterobacteriaceae
Description: partial 23S ribosomal RNA
Rfam family: Bacterial large subunit ribosomal RNA
Source: RNAcentral